GUGCCAGCAGCCGCGGUAAGACAGAGGUGCCGAGCGUUAGGCGGAAUCACUGGGCUUAAAGCGUGUGUAGGCGGACUUCUAAGUACCUUGUGAAAUCCCACGGCUCAACCGUGGAACUGCUUGGUAUACUGGUUGUCUUGAGCCACUUAGGGGCAGUCGGAACAGACGGUGGAGCGGUGAAAUGCGUAGAUAUCGUCUGGAACGCCAACGGUGAAAACAGACUGCUGGGAGUGUGCUGACGCUGAGACACGAAAGCCAGGGGAGCAAACGGGAUUAGAUACCCCUGUAGUCC
Molecule: ribosomal RNA, 292 nt
Filed under: uncultured bacterium
Lineage: Bacteria
Description: partial 16S ribosomal RNA
Rfam family: Bacterial small subunit ribosomal RNA
Source: RNAcentral